This 22-nucleotide microRNA is filed under the name Monodelphis domestica (gray short-tailed opossum). RNAcentral describes it as "mdo-miR-12395-5p". Lineage: Eukaryota; Metazoa; Chordata; Mammalia; Didelphimorphia; Didelphidae. The record is from miRBase by way of RNAcentral.
CUACUUUGCCCCAUUGGGCCUU